This 253-nucleotide ribosomal RNA is filed under the name uncultured bacterium. RNAcentral describes it as "partial 16S ribosomal RNA". It matches the Rfam family "Archaeal small subunit ribosomal RNA", at positions 474 to 727 of the family's 1478-position model. The record is from RNAcentral.
UACCAGCACCCCGAGUGGUCGGGGCGAUUAUUGGGCCUAAAGCAUCCGUAGCCGGUCAUGCAAGUCUUCCGUUAAAUCCAGCCGCUCAACGGUUGGGCUGCGGAGGAUACUACGUGGCUAGGAGGCGGGAGAGGCAAGCGGUACUCAGUGGGUAGGGGUAAAAUCCUUUGAUCCAUGGAAGACCACCAGUGGCGAAGGCGGCUUGCCAGAACGCGCUCGACGGUGAGGGAUGAAAGCUGGGGGAGCAAACCGG